This 429-nucleotide ribosomal RNA is filed under the name uncultured bacterium. RNAcentral describes it as "bacterial SSU rRNA". It matches the Rfam family "Bacterial small subunit ribosomal RNA", at positions 355 to 775 of the family's 1533-position model. The record is from RNAcentral.
UGGGGAAUUGUUCGCAAUGGGCGCAAGCCUGACGACGCAACGCCGCGUGGAGGACGAAGAUCUUCGGGUCGUAAACUCCUGUCGAGCGGGACGAAACCCUCGAGUAUCAACACCACUCGAGGCUGACGGUACCGCGAGAGGAAGCCCCGGCUAACUCCGUGCCAGCAGCCGCGGUAAUACGGGGGGGGCAAGCGUUGUUCGGAAUUACUGGGCGUAAAGGGCUCGUAGGUGGCCCCAUAAGUCAGACGUGAAAUCCCUCGGCUCAACCGAGGAACUGCGUCUGAGACUGUGGGGCUUGAAUCCGGGAGAGGGAUGCGGAAUUCCAGGUGUAGCGGUGAAAUGCGUAGAUAUCUGGAGGAACACCGGUGGCGAAGGCGGCAUCCUGGACCGGUAUUGACACUGAUGAGCGAAAGCCAGGGGAGCAAACGG